CGGCUGCCGCAGGACCUGCAGCAUCCCAGAGAGGUUUUUCCAGAGCUUCUCAGAUGCUCUAAUCGACCAGGACCCCCAGGCGGCGUUAGAGGAGCUGACUAAGGCUUUGGAACAGAAACCAGAUGAUACACAAUAUUAUUGUCAAAGAGCUUUGCUGUUGCUGAUGUAAAGAAGUCUCGUGAACUCAAUCCAAAUAAUUCCACUGCUGUGCUGAGAAAAGGGAUAUGUGAAUACCAUUAAAAAAAACUAUGCUGCUUCUCUAGAAA
RNAcentral lists this long non-coding RNA (266 nucleotides) under Homo sapiens (human). RNAcentral describes it as "non-protein coding lnc-ELF1-2:6". Lineage: Eukaryota; Metazoa; Chordata; Mammalia; Primates; Hominidae. The record is from RNAcentral.